CUUGGCGAGCUCCUCCCAGGCGACACAGAGGGCGACGAAGAGGGGACGGCGAGCACCGCCGUUAGUGUGGCGACGCGGGUGUUCGGAGAGGGCGAUGCCGAGCACCGCCCACAGUGCUGCCGCACGGCGGAGGAGCAAGAGGUCGGCGUAGUGCUUGAAUCGAACGAGGAAGGUAAGAAUGCACCAAAUGACCAGCUGGCAGUUGUGAGGGUGAAUGCUAGGGCCAAAGUUUCAACACAGGCUGGUGGUUCUGCUAGGGUUGAUCUGCAGGCUAAUGUUGCAGGAUCAAGCAGUUCCACUAGUGCAGCAGUGACUGUCACUUUUGGGAAAGCUUCUAUCUCACUUUCAGCCCAAGAACCUGCCAAGCAAACUACAAGGAAGAAAACUGGAGUACCACUACUGCUUAUUCCUCCAUGGGAAUCAGCCAAGCUAUGA
This 435-nucleotide long non-coding RNA is filed under the name Oryza sativa Indica Group (long-grained rice). Its description in RNAcentral is "lncRNA OsLiXu_09g0019450". Lineage: Eukaryota; Viridiplantae; Streptophyta; Magnoliopsida; Poales; Poaceae. The record is from RNAcentral.